AAGUGUUACAGCUCUUUUAGAAUUUGUCUAGCAGGUUUUCUGACUUCGGUCGGAAACCCCCC
The sequence is a small nuclear RNA, 62 nucleotides long. Its record names the gene U7. It matches the Rfam family "U7 small nuclear RNA". From Rfam's summary of the family: Animal histone pre-mRNAs are spliced by a different mechanism than nuclear pre-mRNAs and self-splicing introns. This processing involves the U7 snRNP, which contains only one RNA species: U7. The 5' end of U7 RNA is thought to base-pair to a conserved spacer element downstream of the cleavage site in histone pre-mRNA. The record is from Ensembl.